GUGCUGUGCCAAGGCUGCGAGGCGCUGAGGGGAGAGGCGCCGCCGUCAGCGCCGCCGCAGCUGGGACCCGUUAGAGCGGAAGCGCCGCCGCCACCGCCGCCUUUGCUGUCCCCCGGCCUCUAGUUCCCCGCAGGUGGGAGGUGGGAGCCAUGUCGAAACGGCUCCGGAGCAGCGAGGUGUGCGCUGACUGCAGCGGGCCGGAUCCUUCCUGGGCAUCAGUAAAUAGGGGAACGUUUUUAUGUGAUGAGUGCUGCAGUGUCCAUCGGAGUCUAGGGCGCCAUAUCUCCCAAGUGAGGCAUCUGAAACACACACCGUGGCCUCCAACACUGCUUCAGAUGGUUGAGACCUUGUAUAAUAAUGGUGCUAACUCUAUAUGGGAGCAUUCUUUGCUGGACCCUGCGUCUAUUAUGAGUGGAAGACGUAAAGCUAAUCCACAGGAUAAAGUACAUCCCAAUAAAGCGGAAUUCAUCAGAGCCAAGUAUCAGAUGUUAGCGUUCGUCCAUCGCUUGCCCUGCCGGGAUGACGAUAGUGUGACUGCCAAAGAUCUUAGCAAGCAACUCCAUUCGAGCGUGAGAACAGGGAAUCUUGAAACCUGUUUGAGACUGUUAUCUUUAGGAGCACAAGCCAACUUCUUUCAUCCUGAAAAAGGAAACACCCCACUCCAUGUUGCCUCCAAAGCAGGGCAGAUUUUACAGGCUGAAUUAUUGGCAGUAUAUGGAGCAGACCCAGGCACACAGGAUUCUAGUGGGAAAACUCCCGUUGAUUAUGCAAGGCAAGGAGGGCACCAUGAGCUGGCAGAGCGCCUCGUGGAAAUACAGUAUGAGCUAACGGACAGACUAGCCUUCUAUCUCUGUGGCAGGAAACCAGAUCACAAAAAUGGACAGCACUUUAUAAUACCUCAAAUGGCAGACAGCAGCCUGGAUUUGUCUGAAUUGGCAAAAGCUGCUAAGAAGAAACUUCAAUCUCUAAGUAAUCAUUUGUUUGAAGAACUUGCCAUGGAUGUGUACGAUGAAGUUGACAGGCGAGAGACGGAUGCAGUCUGGCUUGCCACGCAAAACCACAGCGCCCUGGUAACCGAGACAACGGUCGUCCCCUUUCUUCCGGUCAAUCCUGAGUACUCAUCAACACGAAAUCAGGGCAGACAGAAGUUAGCUCGGUUCAACGCCCAUGAGUUUGCCACGCUGGUCAUUGACAUUCUCAGUGACGCCAAGAGGAGACAGCAGGGCAGUUCUCUCUCGGGUUCAAAAGACAAUGUGGAGCUCAUACUGAAAACCAUCAAUAACCAGCACAGCGUUGAGAGUCAAGACAACGAUCAGCCCGACUAUGACAGCGUGGCAUCAGACGAAGACACAGAUUUGGAAACCACUGCAAGCAAAACAAACCGGCAGAAGAGCCUAGAUUCAGAUUUAUCAGAUGGACCAGUCACUGUACAGGAAUUUAUGGAGGUCAAAAACGCUCUAGUGGCUUCUGAGGCCAAGAUACAGCAGCUAAUGAAGGUGAAUAACAACUUGAGUGACGAGCUGAGAAUUAUGCAGAAAAAGGUAACAUGUUAAUAAAUGCCAGGACGGUUGACGCUUUAAUCCCAUAGUACAAGGAAGAAUCUCAGGCACUGUGAUGUGGUCCGAGGAAAGAAAAACAGUUAUUGUAACAGCCUUAGAAAUCUUUGGGCCAAGUUGUCUUUUUGAAGCAGGAUGUAUUUGGAUAUUUAAAAUGAAAUAUAUCCAGAGUAAGUUCCCCAGGUAGGAGAAACCUAACAUCUAUUUAAGCAUUUGUGCCCAUUAGAAUAACCCUUGCACUAUUCUGUGCUUCCUGGAAACCUGGAUGGGGUUUCUUCCCAUUGCUAGGGAAGGAUGAUCACACCAUGGAGACAGAGCCAAUGAGAGCCCUGGGCAGGGGCAUGUUUAUCAGCAUUCAAACCCUGCUCCCACCCUGGCAGCCCUAUCCCACAUCCCCACCUUAUUGCUCACCAGUUUUUACUACUAACUUGUAUUAUCCCCAGAG
Molecule: small RNA, 2001 nt
Filed under: Pan troglodytes (chimpanzee)
Lineage: Eukaryota; Metazoa; Chordata; Mammalia; Primates; Hominidae
Description: retained intron
Source: RNAcentral